UACGUAGGGUGCGAGCGUUAAUCGGAAUUACUGGGCGUAAAGCGUGCGCAGGCGGUGAUGUAAGACAGGUGUGAAAUCCCCGGGCUUAACCUGGGAACUGCAUUUGUGACUGCAUCGCUGGAGUGCGGCAGAGGGGAUGGAAUUCCGCGUGUAGCAGUGAAAUGCGUAGAUAUGCGGAGGAACACCGAUGGCGAAGGCAAUCCCCUGGGCCUGCACUGACGCUCAUGCACGAAAGCGUGGGGAGCAAACAGG
RNAcentral lists this ribosomal RNA (252 nucleotides) under uncultured bacterium. RNAcentral describes it as "partial 16S ribosomal RNA". It matches the Rfam family "Bacterial small subunit ribosomal RNA", at positions 524 to 776 of the family's 1533-position model. The record is from RNAcentral.